ACAAACACAUAACCAUUACUAAAUGUGUAAUAUUGACAGAGACUUUUCAUACUAUACUGAUGUUAGUUGUAAAUAAUAAUUUUGAAAAAACUCUUGAUACUUUUAGAAGAUAUUUCAACUAGCUUAGACCUGAAGGCUUUGUCUACAAAUAUUUACAUUCAGUUUUACUUAAAUUAUCAGUUUUGAAUUCCCAAACCAUCACCUACAGCUUUGCCUUCAAAGCUACUAGAGGUUAAAAGAGUUUUUUAAACGCCCUUGUGAGGUCACAGAGGCUGCCAAGAGGCCAGUAAGAGAAAGCAGACCUCACUGCCUGAAUGUCAAUUAUCCAGCCCCUGGGCACUCGCUCACAGAGUGCCACAGCUUAAAAUCAUUAUAAAGAUAGCAUUAAGACAAUUAAACAAAUUACUUGGAAUCAAGAGUACUUAAAAUCUAUCCCUAACGUGAAUAAAAGGUACCAGAGGACAACCUCAGAAAUUGAGGGAAAUUACAGAAAAGUGUUACAACAUGAGAUACUCAAGGACUGUUAUAGACGAGGCAGCAUGGGGUUUGAAGGAAGACAGCACUAGCAGGAAAAGAACUUCACACAUGACCUCAAACAUAUGAAUGCAGCCCAGAGGAAACGGAAGUAACGCAGUUACUUUCCUUCAAGUACACAAUGAAUAAGAAAGAGUAACUUGAACUUGCAUUAAGAAAAAUUUAGGUUAGGUAUUUUAAACACCAUCCCGCAAAAAAGGGCUGUAAAUCGCCACAAUGACUGAGAAAUUUCUUAUCAGCAUACUUCAGCCAUUUAAGAAUGUGAUAAGCAAAAGCUUUGUUAAAAACUAAGUUGUACCAUAAACUGUGGCAAUUCUAUAGUAAUUCAUUUAAUACUUUAACGGUUCAAAUGUUUCAAAAUGAACUUGUACAAAAUUCAGUCUUCAAGUAACAACUUGGGAGCGUUUACAGCAAUGUGAAAGAAAUGGUGGGCGGGGUGUGCUAUCUGUUCAGAAUGUUCCAAGUUUGAUGGCGGCCUGUGCUGCUAGUCUAACCAUGACCUCUCCUCCCCACACCAUCCAAAGUCGGGGAGAAAAACAGGAAAAAAAGAAAAAAAUAACACUGGCACUGAAAACAGCAAAGCUUAUUUUGCGUACCUCUUAAUCUAAAUACAAUGAAAGUUACUUUAAGAAAUAUGGAUUCAGCAUCACACAUCCAUAUAUAUGUAAGCUACACCAGCCCCCACAAAUAUUCUCGUCACAGAAGUAUCAUAAAACCACUUGCACCUUUCAUCCAAAAAUGUAAUGUGGGAUGAAAAGUAGUUUACCAAACUUUAAUAUUCACCAUAAGGUAAAAUUCAGCUAUUAAGUAUUUUGAAUUCUUAGAUUUACAACUGAAUUUAUUAAUUCAAUCAAUAAAAAUCUCUGGAGUUAACAAUCUCACAUAUGUGACAGUUGUAUCGGUGAGGCUUCAAGCUGGCAUGAAUCUCUCCAAAGGGGACUUUCUGUUACUUUUACUCCAUGAAUUCCAAGUUUGGUAAAGUAAACAAAUUACCCUUUUUAGGUAACAAACAUUUGCUCGUUUUUAAUAAAUCAAUCAUACACUACUUUAAAUCAGUACUUAUGACCAGGGUAAUAUGACUAUUGGUACCAAUCUGCGUUGCAGGUCCCUAGGAGUCUGAAAACUCCAGACUGGGGACCAUGGGUCUAUAAUGUAUUAAGCUCUAAAAACAAAAUAGAACUAUUAAAAGCAAACCGAUUUUUCACAAAUGGACUCUCAAUUUUAAACCACCCAAUAUUUCUUUGUCUAAAACCCAGAAUUUUCCCUGUAGCUGAAAUUCCACACAUGGUCUCCAUAUCCCCAAAGAAAUGCCCUUUCCAGAUGAGUUCCUAAGAACAGAAGUAUGUUUCUUCGAAGUCAGCAAGCUAUUUAUAAAAAGUACAGUAGCCCCCAAGGGAAGAUCAAUUGGCAAGUAUAAAAUUACCUUUAUAUAGUGUAGUAGCUGCUAUGCCCUUUCUUUUAAGGAGGACAAAUACAACAAUGAUCAAAAAAAUAAGGCAUGUGGAAUGUGAUAAUUUUAAUAUGGUGCCUGUCAUUACAAGAGGAAAAUACUACUGAUUUUCAUGACCCUGUAAAAUAUUUGAAUUACCAACUAAACUUGCAAGUGCAUAAAUAUCAUAAAGCCAAAUAAUGUACUUUCAUUACCACACCUAUCAUUUGAAACUAGAAAAAGCAACAUCUUAAAUGUUAAGAUAUCUUAUUUUUAGUAAUGUUAAAACAUAGCUUACUGAUUUAUGUAAGUUCUUCAACAUGUAAAUGGUUUAUAUUGAAUAUAUGCUAAAAUUUCCAUCAUUGCUUAAAAUUAGACAUAGUAAUGUUCAUAUAUAUAUAUAUAAAUAUAUAUAUAUAUAUAUAUCUCUGUGUGUGUACAUAUUUUUGUCUAUACAGCUUAAUUUGAAUUACUUUUCUUCCAAACACUCACUGAAGACCACAGAUGAUAUUUAAAACACUGUCCAACUGAUGUGGCCUGCACAUACCCAGGAAGAAUGGAAAAUGGC
Herpailurus yagouaroundi (jaguarundi) is the source of this 2531-nucleotide long non-coding RNA. RefSeq lists it as uncharacterized. NCBI's taxonomy places the organism in Eukaryota, Metazoa, Chordata, Mammalia, Carnivora, Felidae. The record is from RefSeq and is a predicted model, not a curated record. The transcript is spliced from 2 exons.